Molecule: ribosomal RNA, 515 nt
Filed under: Klebsiella pneumoniae
Lineage: Bacteria; Pseudomonadati; Pseudomonadota; Gammaproteobacteria; Enterobacterales; Enterobacteriaceae
Description: bacterial LSU rRNA
Rfam family: Bacterial large subunit ribosomal RNA
Source: RNAcentral
GUUGUUGGGUAGGGGAGCGUUCUGUAAGCCUGCGAAGGUGUGCUGUGAGGCAUGCUGGAGGUAUCAGAAGUGCGAAUGCUGACAUAAGUAACGAUAAAGCGGGUGAAAAGCCCGCUCGCCGGAAGACCAAGGGUUCCUGUCCAACGUUAAUCGGGGCAGGGUGAGUCGACCCCUAAGGCGAGGCCGAAAGGCGUAGUCGAUGGGAAACAGGUUAAUAUUCCUGUACUUGGUGUUACUGCGAAGGGGGACGGAGAAGGCUAUGUUAGCCGGGCGACGGUUGUCCCGGUUUAAGCAUGUAGGCUGGUUGUCCAGGCAAAUCCGGAUAAUCAAGGCUGAGGUGUGAUGACGAGGCACUACGGUGCUGAAGUAACAAAUGCCCUGCUUCCAGGAAAAGCCUCUAAGCAUCAGGUAACAUCAAAUCGUACCCCAAACCGACACAGGUGGUCAGGUAGAGAAUACCAAGGCGCUUGAGAGAACUCGGGUGAAGGAACUAGGCAAAAUGGUGCCGUAACUUC